Molecule: long non-coding RNA, 370 nt
Filed under: Elaeis guineensis (African oil palm)
Lineage: Eukaryota; Viridiplantae; Streptophyta; Magnoliopsida; Arecales; Arecaceae
Description: long non-coding RNA (EGUI_LNC001455)
Source: RNAcentral
UUUUUUUUUUGUUAAGCUAAAGUUGGAAGGUUCGCUUACUUAAUUCACAGCGUGGGGAGAGUGAUUUUGACGUCAUGGUUGUUUAAUUGCUGAGAUUCUCGUUGGUCGUUUUAAAGAUUUUAUCGAGCCAAGUCGAGAAGUCUCUAGUUAGUCUUUCUUCAUUGUUAAAGUAAGUUGGCCGCGGAUUGAGGAUCUCCGUGACUGACGAGCUUAUCCAUUCAGUCGAAUUUUGUAUUUUUUUUUUUUUCCUUUUAAAAUAAGAGCUAGUGGGAUCGGUGGAUCACCAGAGCAAGAACAAAACUCAUAUAUGGUGAGCGUACCAUCUGCUUGCCUAGUGUUGGCUGUACGUUAGAUGAUGAGUGAUGACCAG